AAAUUAGACGGCCUUCGGACUGGCAACGAGGAGGUUGGCAACUACCACCUCAAGCCGGAAAGUUCGUCAAACUCGGUCAUUUAGAGGAAGUAAAAGUCGUAACAAGGUCUCCGUAGGUGAACCUGCGGAGGGAUCAUUACACAAAUAUGAAGGCGGGCUGGAACCUCUCGGGGGUUACAGCCUUGCUGAAUUAUUCACCCUUGUCUUUUGCGUACUUCUUGUUUCCUUGGUGGGUUCGCCCACCACUAGGACAAACAUAAACCUUUUGUAAUUGCAAUCAGCGUCAGUAACAAAUUAAUAAUUACAACUUUCAACAACGGAUCUCUUGGUUCUGGCAUCGAUGAAGAACGCAGCGAAAUGCGAUAAGUAGUGUGAAUUGCAGAAUUCAGUGAAUCAUCGAAUCUUUGAACGCACAUUGCGCCCUUUGGUAUUCCAAAGGGCAUGCCUGUUCGAGCGUCAUUUGUACCCUCAAGCUUUGCUUGGUGUUGGGCGUCUUGUCUCUAGCUUUGCUGGAGACUCGCCUUAAAGUAAUUGGCAGCCGGCCUACUGGUUUCGGAGCGCAGCACAAGUCGCACUCUCUAUCAGCAAAGGUCUAGCAUCCAUUAAGCCUUUUUUCAACUUUUGACCUCGGAUCAGGUAGGGAUACCCGCUGAACUUAAGCAUAUCAUAAGCGGAGGGG
This 679-nucleotide unclassified non-coding RNA is filed under the name Alternaria alternata. RNAcentral describes it as "sequence contains 18S rRNA gene, ITS1, 5.8S rRNA gene, ITS2, 28S rRNA gene". The stretch from base 306 to 459 matches the Rfam family "5.8S ribosomal RNA". The record is from RNAcentral. Lineage: Eukaryota; Fungi; Ascomycota; Dothideomycetes; Pleosporales; Pleosporaceae.